UAGUCCACGCCGUAAACGAUGGUUACUAGCUGUUCGGUAUUUAUACUGAGUGGCUAAGCGAAAGUGAUAAGUAACCCACCUGGGGAGUACGUUCGCAAGAAUGAAACUCAAAGGAAUUGACGGGGGCCCGCACAAGCGGUGGAGCAUGUGGUUUAAUUCGAUGAUACGCGAGGAACCUUACCAGGGCUUAAAUGUAGUGGGACAGGCUGAGAAAUCGGCCCUUCUUCGGACUCAUUACAAGGUGCUGCAUGGUUGUUGUCAGCUCGUGCCGUGAGGUGUCAGGUUAAGUCCUAUAACGAGCGCAACCCCUGUUGUUAGCUGCCAGCGAGUCAUGUCGGGAACUCUAACAAGACUGCCAGUGCAAACUGUGAGGAAGGUGGGGAUGACGUCAAAUCAUCACGGCCCUUACGUCCUGGGCUACACACGUGCUACAAUGGUAGGUACAGAGGGCAGCCACUGCGUGAGCAGGAGCGAAUCCUUAAAACCUAUCUCAGUUCGGAUCGG
This 504-nucleotide ribosomal RNA is filed under the name uncultured bacterium. RNAcentral's name for it is "bacterial SSU rRNA". It matches the Rfam family "Bacterial small subunit ribosomal RNA", at positions 791 to 1301 of the family's 1533-position model. The record is from RNAcentral.